RNAcentral lists this ribosomal RNA (419 nucleotides) under uncultured bacterium. RNAcentral's name for it is "bacterial SSU rRNA". It matches the Rfam family "Bacterial small subunit ribosomal RNA", at positions 355 to 786 of the family's 1533-position model. The record is from RNAcentral.
UGGGGAAUAUUGGGCAAUGGGCGAAAGCCUUACCCAGCAACGCCGCGUGAGGGAAGAAGGUUUUCGGAUUGUAAACCUCUGUCCUGGGGGACGAAGGAAGUGACGGUACCCCGGGAGGAAGCCCCGGCUAACUACGUGCCAGCAGCCGCGGUAAUACGUAGGGGGCGAGCGUUGUCCGGAAUUAUUGGGCGUAAAGGGCGCGUAGACGGCCGAGUAAGUUAUAGGGUGAAAGCCCAUCUUUCAAGGAUGGAAUUGCCUGUAAUACUGCCUGGCUUGAGUGCAGGAGAGGGAAGCGGAAUUCCUAGGUGUAGCGGUGAAAUGCGUAGAUAUUAGGAGGAACACCAGUGGCGAAGGCGGCUUUCUGGACUGUAACUGACGUUGAGGCGCGAAAGCGUGGGGAGCAAACAGGAUUAGAUACC